CAAUAGCGUAUAUUAAAGUUGUUGCAGUUAAAAAGCUCGUAGUUGGAUUUCUGAUCGAGACAUCAGGUCGGGUCCGAGAGGAUCAUGUACUUUGAUUUUGUUUUGAUCAUCCUUGGGGAGAGCAUUUCUGGCAUUCAGUUGUCGGGAUUGGGAUCCUCAUCGUUUACUGUGAAAAAAUUAGAGUGUUCAAAGCAGGCCUCGGCCUCUGAAUACAUUAGCAUGGAAUAAUAAGAUAGGACUUUGGUGGUCUAUUUUGUUGGUUUGCACGCCAAAGUAAUGAUUAAUAGGGAUAGUUGGGGGUAUUCGUAUUCAAUUGUCAGAGGUGAAAUUCUUGGAUUUAUGGAAGACGAACUACUGCGAAAGCAUUUACCAAGGAUGUUUUCAUUAAC
Molecule: ribosomal RNA, 389 nt
Filed under: uncultured eukaryote
Lineage: Eukaryota
Description: partial 18S ribosomal RNA
Rfam family: Eukaryotic small subunit ribosomal RNA
Source: RNAcentral